GACGAACGCUGGCGGCGUGCUUAACACAUGCAAGUCGAACGCUGAAGCUUGGUGCUUGCACUGGGUGGAUGAGUGGCGAACGGGUGAGUAAUACGUGAGUAACCUGCCCUUGACUCUGGGAUAAGCCUGGGAAACUGGGUCUAAUACUGGAUACGACAUGCCACUGCAUGGUGGUGUGUGGAAAGGGUUUUACUGGUUUUGGAUGGGCUCACGGCCUAUCAGCUUGUUGGUGGGGUAAUGGCCUACCAAGGCGACGACGGGUAGCCGGCCUGAGAGGGUGACCGGCCACACUGGGACUGAGACACGGCCCAGACUCCUACGGGAGGCAGCAGUGGGGAAGAUUGCACAAUGGGCGGAAGCCUGAUGCAGCGACGCCGCGUGAGGGAUGACGGACUUCGGGUUGUAAACCUCUUUCAGCACGGAAGAAGCGAGAGUGACGGUACGUGAAGAAGAAGCGCCGGCUAACUACGUG
Molecule: ribosomal RNA, 472 nt
Filed under: uncultured bacterium
Lineage: Bacteria
Description: partial 16S ribosomal RNA
Rfam family: Bacterial small subunit ribosomal RNA
Source: RNAcentral